RNAcentral lists this ribosomal RNA (406 nucleotides) under uncultured bacterium. RNAcentral describes it as "partial 16S ribosomal RNA". It matches the Rfam family "Bacterial small subunit ribosomal RNA", at positions 28 to 526 of the family's 1533-position model. The record is from RNAcentral.
GAUGAACGCUGACAGAAUGCUUAACACAUCAGCAAUUGAUUGGUGGCGGACGGGUGAGUAACGCGUAAAGAACUUACCUCACAGUUAGGGACAACAUUUGGAAACGAAUGCUAAUACCUAAUACUGUGAGAGAGCUUUGCGUCCCAUUAGCUAGUUGGUGGGGUAACGGCUCACCAAGGCGACGAUCCGUAGCUGGUUUGAGAGGACGACCAGCCACACUGGGACUGAGACACGGCCCUUACUCCUACGGGAGGCAGCAGUGGGGAAUAUUGGACAAUGGACCAAAGUCUGAUCCAGCAAUUCUGUGUGCACGAUGAAGUUUUCGGAAUGUAAAGUGCUUUCAGUUGGGAAGCGGUACCAACAGAAGAAGUGACGGCUAAAUACGUGCCAGCAGCCGCGGUAAUAC